UGCCAGACUCCUACGGGAGGCAGCAGUGGGGAAUAUUGCACAAUGGGCGAAAGCCUGAUGCAGCAACGCCGCGUGAACGAAGAAGGCUCUUGGGUCGUAAAGUUCUGUUCUGAGGGAAGAAGAAAGUGACGGUACCUCAGGAGAAAGCCCCGGCUAACUACGUGCCAGCAGCCGCGGUAAUACGUAGGGGGCAAGCGUUAUCCGGAUUCACUGGGUGUAAAGGGAGCGUAGACGGCGACGCAAGUCUGGAGUGAAAGCCCGGGGCCCAACCCCGGGACUGCUCUGGAAACUGCGGCGCUGGAGUACGGGAGGGGCAGGCGGAAUUCCUGGUGUGGCGGUGAAAUGCGUAGAUAUCAGGGGGAACACCGGCGGCGAAGGCGGCCUGCUGGACCGUGACUGACGUUGAGGCUCGAGAGCGUGGGGAGCAAACAGGAUUAGAUACCCGAGUA
This 449-nucleotide ribosomal RNA is filed under the name uncultured bacterium. RNAcentral's name for it is "partial 16S ribosomal RNA". It matches the Rfam family "Bacterial small subunit ribosomal RNA", at positions 329 to 792 of the family's 1533-position model. The record is from RNAcentral.